UUUGCUCCUUUGACGUUAGCGGCGGACGGGUGAGUAACACGUAGGUAACCUACCUAUAAGACUGGGAUAACUUCGGGAAACCGGAGCUAAUACCGGAUAAUAUUUCGAACCGCAUGGUUCGAUAGUGAAAGAUGGCUUUGCUAUCACUUAUAGAUGGACCUGCGCCGUAUUAGCUAGUUGGUAAGGUAACGGCUUACCAAGGCAACGAUACGUGAGCCGACCUGAGAGGGUGAUCGGCCACACUGGAACUGAGACACGGUCCAGACUCCUACGGGAGGCAGCAGUAGGGAAUCUUCCGCAAUGGGCGAAAGCCUGACGGAGCAACGCCGCCUGACUGAUGAAGGUCUUCGGAUCGUAAAACUCUGUUAUUAGGGAAGAACAAACGUGUAAGUAACUGUGCACGUCUUGACGGUACCUAAUCAGAAAGCCACGGCUAACUACGUGCCAGCAGCCGCGGUAAUACGUAUGUGGCAAGCGUUUAUCCGGAAUUAUUGGGCGUAAAGCGGGGCGUAGGCGGUUUUUUAAGCCUGAUGUGAAAGCCUACGGGUCAACCGUGGGAGGGUCAUUGGAAACUGGGAAACUUGGCUGCACAAAAGGGAAAGUG
Molecule: ribosomal RNA, 604 nt
Filed under: Staphylococcus hominis
Lineage: Bacteria; Bacillati; Bacillota; Bacilli; Caryophanales; Staphylococcaceae
Description: bacterial SSU rRNA
Rfam family: Bacterial small subunit ribosomal RNA
Source: RNAcentral